This 68-nucleotide transfer RNA is filed under the name Marmota monax (woodchuck). RNAcentral's name for it is "tRNA.Ala". The stretch from base 5 to 65 matches the Rfam family "tRNA", at positions 6 to 65 of the family's 71-position model. Rfam says of the family: Transfer RNA (tRNA) molecules are approximately 80 nucleotides in length. Their secondary structure includes four short double-helical elements and three loops (D, anti-codon, and T loops). Lineage: Eukaryota; Metazoa; Chordata; Mammalia; Rodentia; Sciuridae. The record is from RNAcentral.
GGAAUGUAGCUCAGUGGUAGAGCAUGUGUUUAGCAUUCCCAAGGCCCUGGGUUCAAUCCCCAUCACCA